Molecule: long non-coding RNA, 563 nt
Organism: Portunus trituberculatus (swimming crab)
Lineage: Eukaryota; Metazoa; Arthropoda; Malacostraca; Decapoda; Portunidae
Exons: 3
Source: RefSeq, a predicted model, not a curated record
GGAGAAUUGGCCGGCUGCACAGAUGAGUGGAGGGGGAUCAGGGCAGCCCUCAGGAGGGUUCUCGUCCUCCCCGCCCUCACAGUCAUAGUCUCCGUCACACAUCCACUGCUUGGAGAUGCAGCGUCCUGUGCCGUCAGAAGGUUCAUCCGAGCCAUCCGGACAGUCACUGUGGCCAUCACAAACCCACGUCCGGGGGAUGCAGUUGCUGUCAUUACAUUUGAAAUACUCUGUGGAUGAGCAGCAGAACAACAGGAUUACAAAGUCUAAUUCAGGAGCCCAUGGAUGAAAAAGACAAGCAGACAAGAGGCAACAGCAAUACAACAGACAGGAAGGAAACACUGCACCACUAGAUCACUCACCCUCAGCACAAGAGUAGACACAAGUGGCUUCAUCGCUGGGCUGCCCUCCGUCCUCCUCAUCCUGGCAGUCGUUCUCACCAUUGCACACAAAGCUCACAGCAAUGCACCGCCCAUUCUUGCACUGGAAGGUUCCAUUGGGGCAGGACGAGCUCUCCACUGGUUCAGUUACUGUCAAGGGUGUUUCAGUGUAAGCAGAAAUGAGUA